AGGAAAUAUAUGAAGAAGAAAUGUUAUAUGAAAUAAGAUUGGGCAGAAAAACUUUAAUCCUUCACCUUCUGAAAUCAAGGGAAUUCCUCACUUCAAAUUACAGUGAGGCACACUACAAUGUAAAAGGAGAGAUGAUCACCAAGCAGCCUUGUAAAGCCUUCCUCUGCCUCCUCUCUGAAACCAUUAUUUCCUGAUAGUGCUUUAAACACCAAUUCCAGAUUUACAUAUUGUUUCAAAGCUUCUCGAAAGGAACUAGCCCUGAGUUGACUACUCCUACCUACUAAAUGGUGAUAGAAUGGAAACAGAACCCUUUGUAAAUGGUGGUAGAAUAGAAACUAGGAGUUGUUGAGUCCUGCAGGAAGCUGAUCACUUCCUAGCAAGCAGAUCAAAGAUUGUAUUAUAUCUUUCUUUGCUAAGGCUUCUCUAUAGUCACUAUGGUGGUAAGUGAAAAGAGGCUGAAGCAGGAGUCAAAAUAAGCAUAAUAUAUCUUGAUUUGGUUUUAAUUAAGUAAAAGGGAUGAAUUCUAAAUACAUGAAACAACUUUCAGUAUCUACAGUGAAUGAGUUCUUAUGUGGUUUGUGACACCUGUCCAGCCCUACUGAUACACUAGCAUUAGGGUCUCCUUUUUCUUCUCUGGAGAAAGUUUUGCAUAAAUCAUUACUAUUAUUCUAGAGGUAGAGAAUCUAUCUUUUCCUUCAUCACCUUUGCAGAACUUUCUAUCUAUAGUCCUUAAAUGAGAAUGACUUCCUCUGCCCAAAAGUAUCCUUCCAAAACUCUAUUUCCUCUAUAUAAAUCAACUUUAAACUGCUUUAAGAUAUACAUCACCAUGUAGCCUUAAAAUGGAGGACAAAAGGAACACAGAGGAGCAAGCGUGUGGCACUUGGAAGGUCACAGAAAGUGUCAUCUAUGGGCUGAUGAGCAGACAGAAGAGAUGAGAAGAGUCAUUGCUCGAUGGAAUUACUAUGAGCAAUGCACCAAGCAGGACUAAUGAAGAAGCCAGCUGGACAGAAAACAAGAGACGGGCAUUGGUGUGGGGUGGCUGGAGAGCAAGAACUAAUUUUAGAAAUAUCAAAAGCUUGACUUGAUUUAACAGGCAGUUGGGGAAAUGACAGAACUUUGUGGAGGAUUUGAGGGUGGACAGACAGAGCCAUAUUUAUAAGAGACAGGUCACAUCUGAAACUUGUCUCAUUGCCUAAUAGACAAACUUAUGAGGAGAUAAUUUAUAUAUAGGUUUCCCCAAAGUAGUCAUUCAGUUAGGACAAAAGGUCCCUAAAGCAGGUUCAAAUGUCUUACUUAGAUGAAUCCAUGAAUACAUUCAAUGCAAGUGUCACUUAUGAAAUAUUGAUUCAUUCUUAACAGAAAUUGAUUGUCAAUAUUUUUACAGUCCCAGCUUUUAUAUCUGCCUUAACCAACUCUUCUGUUUUAGAAUCACUGUCUUUACCAAGGAUCUAUCAUACAUGAAUUUGAUUCUGCUGCUUGUAUCAGUACUUGUAAUGGUCUGAGGGCUUCCACCAAGAAAAAUUCAUUGAACUGUUCAUUGUUGCUGAUGAUUAUGUGAAACCACAAGAAUAGUAAACCCCAAACCAAGCUAAGGAAACAAAUUUGGGGAAUGGUCAAUUUUGUCAACAUGAUUUAUAAAAUCUUGAACAUUCAUGUGGCAUUGGCUGGCCUUGAAAUAUGGUCAUCUGGAGAUAAGGUAGAAAUAGCGUCAAAUCUAGAAACUGCCUUAUUGCGUUU
Long non-coding RNA from Mesocricetus auratus (golden hamster), 1737 nucleotides. RefSeq lists it as uncharacterized. The transcript is spliced from 5 exons. NCBI's taxonomy places the organism in Eukaryota, Metazoa, Chordata, Mammalia, Rodentia, Cricetidae. The record is from RefSeq and is a predicted model, not a curated record.